AAAUUGAAGAGUUUGAUCAUGGCUCAGAUUGAACGCUGGCGGCAGGCCUAACACAUGCAAGUCGAACGGUAACAGGAAGAAGCUUGCUUCUUUGCUGACGAGUGGCGGACGGGUGAGUAAUGUCUGGGAAACUGCCUGAUGGAGGGGGAUAACUAUUGGAAACGGUAGCUAAUACCGCAUAACGUCGCAAGACCAAAGAGGGGGACCUUCGGGCCUCUUGCCAUCGGAUGUGCCCAGAUGGGAUUAGCUUGUUGGUGGGGUAACGGCUCACCAAGGCGACGAUCCCUAGCUGGUCUGAGAGGAUGACCAGCCACACUGGAACUGAGACACGGUCCAGACUCCUACGGGAGGCAGCAGUGGGGAAUAUUGCACAAUGGGCGCAAGCCUGAUGCAGCCAUGCCGCGUGUAUGAAGAAGGCCUUCGGGUUGUAAAGUACUUUCAGCGGGGAGGAAGGGAGUAAAGUUAAUACCUUUGCUCAUUGACGUUACCCGCAGAAGAAGCACCGGCUAACUCCGUGCCAGCAGCCGCGGUAAUACGGAGGGUGCAAGCGUUAAUCGGAAUUACUGGGCGUAAAGCGCACGCAGGCGGUUUGUUAAGUCAGAUGUGAAAUCCCCGGGCUCAACCUGGGAACUGCAUCUGAUACUGGCAAGCUUGAGUCUCGUAGAGGGGGGUAGAAUUCCAGGUGUAGCGGUGAAAUGCGUAGAGAUCUGGAGGAAUACCGGUGGCGAAGGCGGCCCCCUGGACGAAGACUGACGCUCAGGUGCGAAAGCGUGGGGAGCAAACAGGAUUAGAUACCCUGGUAGUCCACGCCGUAAACGAUGUCGACUUGGAGGUUGUGCCCUUGAGGCGUGGCUUCCGGAGCUAACGCGUUAAGUCGACCGCCUGGGGAGUACGGCCGCAAGGUUAAAACUCAAAUGAAUUGACGGGGGCCCGCACAAGCGGUGGAGCAUGUGGUUUAAUUCGAUGCAACGCGAAGAACCUUACCUGGUCUUGACAUCCACGGAAGUUUUCAGAGAUGAGAAUGUGCCUUCGGGAACCGUGAGACAGGUGCUGCAUGGCUGUCGUCAGCUCGUGUUGUGAAAUGUUGGGUUAAGUCCCGCAACGAGCGCAACCCUUAUCCUUUGUUGCCAGCGGUCCGGCCGGGAACUCAAAGGAGACUGCCAGUGAUAAACUGGAGGAAGGUGGGGAUGACGUCAAGUCAUCAUGGCCCUUACGACCAGGGCUACACACGUGCUACAAUGGCGCAUACAAAGAGAAGCGACCUCGCGAGAGCAAGCGGACCUCAUAAAGUGCGUCGUAGUCCGGAUUGGAGUCUGCAACUCGACUCCAUGAAGUCGGAAUCGCUAGUAAUCGUGGAUCAGAAUGCCACGGUGAAUACGUUCCCGGGCCUUGUACACACCGCCCGUCACACCAUGGGAGUGGGUUGCAAAAGAAGUAGGUAGCUUAACCUUCGGGAGGGCGCUUACCACUUUGUGAUUCAUGACUGGGGUGAAGUCGUAACAAGGUAACCGUAGGGGAACCUGCGGUUGGAUCACCUCCUU
Molecule: ribosomal RNA, 1541 nt
Filed under: Escherichia coli
Lineage: Bacteria; Pseudomonadati; Pseudomonadota; Gammaproteobacteria; Enterobacterales; Enterobacteriaceae
Description: bacterial SSU rRNA
Rfam family: Bacterial small subunit ribosomal RNA
Source: RNAcentral